Molecule: ribosomal RNA, 459 nt
Filed under: uncultured bacterium
Lineage: Bacteria
Description: partial 16S ribosomal RNA
Rfam family: Bacterial small subunit ribosomal RNA
Source: RNAcentral
CCUACGGGAGGCAGCAGUGAGGAAUAUUGGUCAAUGGGAGAGAUCCUGAACCAGCCAAGCCGCGUGAGGGAAGACGGCCCUAUGGGUUGUAAACCUCUUUUGUCGGAGAACAAAACCCGGGACGUGUCCCGGACUGCGUGUAUCCGAAGAAAAAGCAUCGGCUAAUUCCGUGCCAGCAGCCGCGGUAAUACGGGGGAUGCGAGCGUUAUCCGGAUUUAUUGGGUUUAAAGGGUGGGUAGGCGGUCCGUUAAGUCAGCGGUAAAAUUGCGGGGCUCAACGCCGUCGAGCCGUUGAAACUGGCAGACUUGAGUUGGCGAGAAGUACGCGGAAUGCGCGGUGUAGCGGUGAAAUGCAUAGAUAUCGCGCAGAACUCCGAUUGCGAAGGCAGCGUACCGGCGCCAGACUGACGCUGAGGCACGAAAGCGUGGGGAGCGAACAGGAUUAGAUACCCGGGUAGUC